RNAcentral lists this ribosomal RNA (496 nucleotides) under uncultured bacterium. RNAcentral's name for it is "partial 16S ribosomal RNA". It matches the Rfam family "Bacterial small subunit ribosomal RNA", at positions 28 to 506 of the family's 1533-position model. The record is from RNAcentral.
GACGAACGCUGGCGGCGUGCCUAAUACAUGCGAGUUGAGCGCUGAAGGUUGGUACUUGUACCAACUGGAUGAGCAGCGAACGGGUGAGUAACGCGUGGGGAAUCUGCCUUUGAGCGGGGGACAACAUUUGGAAACGAAUGCUAGUACCGCAUAAAAACUUUAAACACAAGUUUUAAGUUUGAAAGAUGCAAUUGCAUCACUCAAAGAUGAUCCCGCGUUGUAUUAGCUAGUUGGUGAGGUAAAGGCUCACCAAGGCGAUGAUACAUAGCCGACCUGAGAGGGUGAUCGGCCACAUUGGGACUGAGACACGGCCCAAACUCCUACGGGAGGCAGCAGUAGGGAAUCUUCGGCAAUGGACGAAAGUCUGACCGAGCAACGCCGCGUGAGUGAAGAAGGUUUUCGGAUCGUAAAACUCUGUUGGUAGAGAAGAACGUUGGUGAGAGUGGAAAGCUCAUCAAGUGACGGUAACUACCCAGAAAGGGACGGCUAACUACGU